RNAcentral lists this ribosomal RNA (461 nucleotides) under uncultured bacterium. RNAcentral describes it as "partial 16S ribosomal RNA". It matches the Rfam family "Bacterial small subunit ribosomal RNA", at positions 338 to 795 of the family's 1533-position model. The record is from RNAcentral.
CCUACGGGUGGCUGCAGUGAGGAAUAUUGGUCAAUGGGCGCGAGCCUGAACCAGCCAAGUCGCGUGAGGGAGGACGGCCCUACGGGUUGUAAACCUCUUUUGCCGGGGAGAAACUGGCGUCACGUGUGGCGCCACCGAGAGUACCCGGAGAAAAAGCAUCGGCUAACUCCGUGCCAGCAGCCGCGGUAAUACGGAGGAUCCGAGCGUUAUCCGGAUUUAUUGGGUUUAAAGGGAGGGUAGAAGGGUUGUUAAGUCAGUUGUUAAAGUUUUCGGCUCAAACGUAAAAUUGCAAUUGAUACUGGCAGCCUUGAGUACAGUUGAGGUAGGCGGAAUUCGUGGUGUAGCGGUGAAAUGCUUAGAUAUCACGAAGAACUCCGAUUGCGAAGGCAGCUUACUAAACUGCCACUGACAUUGAUGCUCGAAAGUGUGGGUAUCAAACAGGAUUAGAUACCCUUGUAGUC